GUCCCCGUAGCUCAGCUGGAUAGAGCAUCGCUUUCCUAAAGCGGAGGUCGGGUGUUCGAAUCACCCCGGGGACACCA
RNAcentral lists this transfer RNA (77 nucleotides) under Planctomycetota bacterium. RNAcentral's name for it is "Planctomycetes bacterium (marine metagenome) tRNA-Arg". It matches the Rfam family "tRNA". Rfam says of the family: Transfer RNA (tRNA) molecules are approximately 80 nucleotides in length. Their secondary structure includes four short double-helical elements and three loops (D, anti-codon, and T loops). The record is from RNAcentral. Lineage: Bacteria; Pseudomonadati; Planctomycetota.